This is a non-coding RNA of Plectropomus leopardus (leopard coralgrouper), 967 nucleotides long. Lineage: Eukaryota; Metazoa; Chordata; Actinopteri; Perciformes; Serranidae. The record is from RefSeq and is a predicted model, not a curated record.
AGAACCAGCUGAUGGAUCUUUACAAUGGCUGAUUCUUGGAGGAAUCAUUGGGAUCAUCGUACUCAUCUGUCUGGUCGUCUGCGUUUGCGCUCUUGCGUGUAGAAGACGUUCAAAGUCGACAAAUCCAAGUCAACCACAGCGUCAGGGUCAAAGCGGUGAAGAGCUGGCAGUUGUAGAUCCAACAAUUAAGACAGAAGAAAAAAAUGAAGACAUCCAUUAUGGAGAGAUCGACUUCUCCAAGCAAAGAUCUGAGCCAUCUUCCACGUCAGUGCAGGACAGUGGACAGCAGCAGGACACGCUGUAUGCGCAGGUCAAAGUGUCAGAGACAGCAAAUAGCUUAACACAGACUGCUGACGUCCCAGAAGAUCUCUAUGCUCAAGUGAAAUACUAAUGAGUGUAUGGAGAGGUUUUAAUAGGUGUGUGUUAUUAUUAUAAUUAUUAUUAGUAGUAGUAGUGGUAGUAGUAAAAAUAGAAAUAAUAGUAUUACGUGGAAAUAUUUUCUGUACAACUUGCAGUUUAUCACAAUAUACUAAAGGUGUUGACAUUUUGAGUGUUCGUUAGAUUUGUUUUUGUUCGAUUUUUUUAAGUUGCUGGUCAUAACACUCACCUAAUUUGCUCACAUAAUUUGCAUUUCAUUUUUUUUCAUCAUGUAUGAUUUGUGUCUGGAUUACAGCUUAACCAAAGAUAAAGUACAUGUUUGUUUCCGCUGUUUUGUUUUUUUACCUUUACUUAAUGGUUUGACAUGCUGCAAACUGCAAUUUUUUGACACAACAUUUGACACAAUGUGUGUUAACAUUACUAAAAUCAAACCAUUUAAUCUAGAGAAAUAAAAUAAAAAAGAGGAAAAGUUACUUCAUCUCAGACAAAUGUUAAUAUAUAAAGCUCAGGACAAUAGCAGCAAUUAAUACUUUAGAUAUAAAUUGCGUUAUUUCUUAUUGUAUGAAUGAGAUGAUGACAAUUGGACAGG